This 268-nucleotide ribosomal RNA is filed under the name uncultured bacterium. RNAcentral's name for it is "partial 16S ribosomal RNA". It matches the Rfam family "Bacterial small subunit ribosomal RNA", at positions 793 to 1055 of the family's 1533-position model. The record is from RNAcentral.
GUCCACGCCGUAAAACGAUGGACACUAGGCGUCGGGGGGAGCGACCCUCCCGGUGCCGUCGCUAACGCAGUAAGUGUCCCGCCUGGGGAGUACGGCCGCAAGGCUGAAACUCAAAGGAAUUGACGGGGGCCCGCACAAGCGGUGGAGCAUGUGGUUUUAAUUCGAAGCAACGCGAAGAACCUUACCUGGGCUUGACAUGCUGGUGAAAGCCGGUGGAAACAUCGGCCCCCUCUUCGGAGCGCCAGCACAGGUGCUGCAUGGCUGUCGU